RNAcentral lists this ribosomal RNA (496 nucleotides) under uncultured bacterium. RNAcentral's name for it is "partial 16S ribosomal RNA". It matches the Rfam family "Bacterial small subunit ribosomal RNA", at positions 29 to 507 of the family's 1533-position model. The record is from RNAcentral.
AUGAACGCUGGCGGCGUGCCUAAUACAUGCAAGUCGAGCGAACGGACGAGAAGCUUGCUUCUCUGAUGUUAGCGGCGGACGGGUGAGUAACACGUGGAUAACCUACCUAUAAGACUGGGAUAACUUCGGGAAACCGGAGCUAAUACCGGAUAAUAUUUUGAACCGCAUGGUUCAAAAGUGAAAGACGGUCUUGCUGUCACUUAUAGAUGGAUCCGCGCUGCAUUAGCUAGUUGGUAAGGUAACGGCUUACCAAGGCAACGAUGCAUAGCCGACCUGAGAGGGUGAUCGGCCACACUGGAACUGAGACACGGUCCAGACUCCUACGGGAGGCAGCAGUAGGGAAUCUUCCGCAAUGGGCGAAAGCCUGACGGAGCAACGCCGCGUGAGUGAUGAAGGUCUUCGGAUCGUAAAACUCUGUUAUUAGGGAAGAACAUAUGUGUAAGUAACUAUGCACAUCUUGACGGUACCUAAUCAGAAAGCCACGGCUAACUACGUG